AGGAAAGAGGAGGAGAGAGAGAGAGAGAGAGAGAGAGGAAAAGGAGGCGCUAGCGGAAAUUGCACGGCAAUUUUAGAAGGCGUCUUGAUCGAUAACGAGCGCGCGCAUCUGGCGACCGGUUCUUCUCUGUGUAUAUAGUCGAUCGGUGUAUAAUAAAUGACAGUAG
Apis dorsata (giant honeybee) is the source of this 166-nucleotide long non-coding RNA. RefSeq lists it as uncharacterized. NCBI's taxonomy places the organism in Eukaryota, Metazoa, Arthropoda, Insecta, Hymenoptera, Apidae. The transcript is spliced from 2 exons. The record is from RefSeq and is a predicted model, not a curated record.